AAAUUGAAGAGUUUGAUCAUGGCUCAGAUUGAACGCUGGCGGCAGGCCUAACACAUGCAAGUCGAGCGGAAACGAGUUAUCUGAACCUUCGGGGAACGAUAACGGCGUCGAGCGGCGGACGGGUGAGUAAUGCCUAGGAAAUUGCCCUGAUGUGGGGGAUAACCAUUGGAAACGAUGGCUAAUACCGCAUGAUGCCUACGGGCCAAAGAGGGGGACCUUCGGGCCUCUCGCGUCAGGAUAUGCCUAGGUGGGAUUAGCUAGUUGGUGAGGUAAGGGCUCACCAAGGCGACGAUCCCUAGCUGGUCUGAGAGGAUGAUCAGCCACACUGGAACUGAGACACGGUCCAGACUCCUACGGGAGGCAGCAGUGGGGAAUAUUGCACAAUGGGCGCAAGCCUGAUGCAGCCAUGCCGCGUGUAUGAAGAAGGCCUUCGGGUUGUAAAGUACUUUCAGUCGUGAGGAAGGUAGUGUAGUUAAUAGCUGCAUUAUUUGACGUUAGCGACAGAAGAAGCACCGGCUAACUCCGUGCCAGCAGCCGCGGUAAUACGGAGGGUGCGAGCGUUAAUCGGAAUUACUGGGCGUAAAGCGCAUGCAGGUGGUUUGUUAAGUCAGAUGUGAAAGCCCGGGGCUCAACCUCGGAAUAGCAUUUGAAACUGGCAGACUAGAGUACUGUAGAGGGGGGUAGAAUUUCAGGUGUAGCGGUGAAAUGCGUAGAGAUCUGAAGGAAUACCGGUGGCGAAGGCGGCCCCCUGGACAGAUACUGACACUCAGAUGCGAAAGCGUGGGGAGCAAACAGGAUUAGAUACCCUGGUAGUCCACGCCGUAAACGAUGUCUACUUGGAGGUUGUGGCCUUGAGCCGUGGCUUUCGGAGCUAACGCGUUAAGUAGACCGCCUGGGGAGUACGGUCGCAAGAUUAAAACUCAAAUGAAUUGACGGGGGCCCGCACAAGCGGUGGAGCAUGUGGUUUAAUUCGAUGCAACGCGAAGAACCUUACCUACUCUUGACAUCCAGAGAACUUUCCAGAGAUGGAUUGGUGCCUUCGGGAACUCUGAGACAGGUGCUGCAUGGCUGUCGUCAGCUCGUGUUGUGAAAUGUUGGGUUAAGUCCCGCAACGAGCGCAACCCUUAUCCUUGUUUGCCAGCGAGUAAUGUCGGGAACUCCAGGGAGACUGCCGGUGAUAAACCGGAGGAAGGUGGGGACGACGUCAAGUCAUCAUGGCCCUUACGAGUAGGGCUACACACGUGCUACAAUGGCGCAUACAGAGGGCGGCCAACUUGCGAAAGUGAGCGAAUCCCAAAAAGUGCGUCGUAGUCCGGAUUGGAGUCUGCAACUCGACUCCAUGAAGUCGGAAUCGCUAGUAAUCGUGGAUCAGAAUGCCACGGUGAAUACGUUCCCGGGCCUUGUACACACCGCCCGUCACACCAUGGGAGUGGGCUGCAAAAGAAGUAGGUAGUUUAACCUUCGGGGGGACGCUUACCACUUUGUGGUUCAUGACUGGGGUGAAGUCGUAACAAGGUAGCGCUAGGGGAACCUGGCGCUGGAUCACCUCCUUAUACGAUGAU
This 1562-nucleotide ribosomal RNA is filed under the name Vibrio neocaledonicus. Its description in RNAcentral is "bacterial SSU rRNA". It matches the Rfam family "Bacterial small subunit ribosomal RNA". The record is from RNAcentral. Lineage: Bacteria; Pseudomonadati; Pseudomonadota; Gammaproteobacteria; Vibrionales; Vibrionaceae.